CCUACGGGAGGCAGCAGUCGAGAAUUAUUCACAAUGGGGGCAACCCUGAUGCUGCGACGCCGCGUGGAGGAAUGAAGGUCUUCGGAUUGUAAACCCCUGUCAUGUGGGAGCAAAUUAAAAAGAUAGUACCACAAGAGGAAGAGACGGCUAACUCUGUGUCAGCAGCCGCGGUAAUACAGAGGUCUCAAGCGUUAUCCGUAUUCACUGGGCGUAAAGCGUGCGUAGGCUGUUUCGUAAGUCGUGUGUGAAAGGCCGGGGCUCAACCCGGGGACUGCAUAUGAUACUGGUAGGCUAGAGUGUUGUUGCGGUAGGCGGAAUGUCAGGUGUAGCGGUG
Molecule: ribosomal RNA, 334 nt
Filed under: uncultured bacterium
Lineage: Bacteria
Description: partial 16S ribosomal RNA
Rfam family: Bacterial small subunit ribosomal RNA
Source: RNAcentral